This 256-nucleotide ribosomal RNA is filed under the name unidentified marine bacterioplankton. RNAcentral's name for it is "partial 16S ribosomal RNA". It matches the Rfam family "Bacterial small subunit ribosomal RNA", at positions 55 to 339 of the family's 1533-position model. RNAcentral also lists the same sequence under 1 other name. The record is from RNAcentral.
AUGCAAGUCGAACGAACCUUCGGGUUAGUGGCGGACGGGUGAGUAACGCGUGAGAAUCUGCCCUCAGGAGGGGGAUAACGGGCUGGAAACGGCCGCUAAUACCCCAUAUGCCGAGAGGUGAAAUGAAUUUCGCCUGAGGGAUUGAGCUCGCGUCUGAUUAGCUAGUUGGUGCGGUAAAGGCUCACCAAGGCAUCGAUCAGUAGCUGGUCUGAGAGGAUGAUCAGCCACACUGGGACUGAGACACGGCCCAGACUCC